This 497-nucleotide ribosomal RNA is filed under the name uncultured bacterium. RNAcentral's name for it is "partial 16S ribosomal RNA". It matches the Rfam family "Bacterial small subunit ribosomal RNA", at positions 28 to 507 of the family's 1533-position model. The record is from RNAcentral.
GAUGAACGCUGGCGGCGUGCCUAAUACAUGCAAGUCGAGCGAACAGACGAGGAGCUUGCUCCUCUGACGUUAGCGGCGGACGGGUGAGUAACACGUGGAUAACCUACCUAUAAGACUGGGAUAACUUCGGGAAACCGGAGCUAAUACCGGAUAAUAUAUUGAACCGCAUGGUUCAAUAGUGAAAGACGGUUUUGCUGUCACUUAUAGAUGGAUCCGCGCCGCAUUAGCUAGUUGGUAAGGUAACGGCUUACCAAGGCAACGAUGCGUAGCCGACCUGAGAGGGUGAUCGGCCACACUGGAACUGAGCCACGGACCAGACUCCUGCGGGAGGCAGCAGUAGGGAAUCUUCCGCAAUGGGCGAAAGCCUGACGGAGCAACGCCGCGUGAGUGAUGAAGGUCUUCGGAUCGUAAAACUCUGUUAUUAGUGAAGAACAAAUGUGUAAGUAACUAUGCACGUCUUGACGGUACCUAAUCAGAAAGCCCCGGCUAACUACGUG